Molecule: non-coding RNA, 476 nt
Organism: Cinara cedri
Lineage: Eukaryota; Metazoa; Arthropoda; Insecta; Hemiptera; Aphididae
Source: the annotation of a GenBank genome assembly
AAAAUAUUUAAUUGAAACAAAGUUAAUAAAUCUGUUUUAAUAGCCCUGGUACACCUUGGAUUUGCUAGUUACCCCGGCCUCGAAAUAAGAAAGUGUCUCCUCGUGUCCACCGAAUGAGCAAUAAAUGUGCGCGUCAUUAUUUUUUUUGGUCUAUUUUAAUAGUGGCAUAGGCUUACUGACAGCUCUAGUGAAUUUUUCGGUUAUUGAAAACAUUUUUUACUCGAUUGUUUAUUAACUUACAGAAUCGGAAAUAAAAAAAAAUCGUCCGAUGAUUGGACGAGCAGUGAUUCCUAGAGGUUAUUCGAGUCGAUGAUUCUCAUUUUCACAUUUAUAUUUGCAUACAAACUAUAAGUAUACAAAUACGAAUAGCAGCCAUGCGAAAAUGAAUUUCCGAAAUCGUAACUGGAUCGAACGAUCCCGCGUCCUUUGCUGCAAUGUAUAUUUUAACGUGAUAAAAAAAAAAAAAAAAAAAAAAA